GCUGGGUGUGGUGGUGGGCACCUGUAAUCCCAGCUACUCGGGAGGCAGAGGCAGGAGAAUUGCUUGAAUCCAGGAGGCAGAGGUUGCAGUGAGCUGAGAUCACUCUACUGCACUCCAUCCUGGGUGACAGAGCAAGACUCUGUCUCUA
Non-coding RNA from Homo sapiens (human), 148 nucleotides. It matches the Rfam family "Metazoan signal recognition particle RNA". Rfam says of the family: The signal recognition particle (SRP) is a universally conserved ribonucleoprotein. The record is from Rfam. Lineage: Eukaryota; Metazoa; Chordata; Mammalia; Primates; Hominidae.